ACCUGUAUCGAAAGUGACUGUGGCGUCCUCGUCGCCAGGUCAUUGAUAGUACAGGAAGAUCAAACUGCAAGCCUUUCCCGUGUUUGAAGGAUGUGUUCCUAUCAGACCCUGGCGCUCUCAGACA
This is a small nucleolar RNA of Centropristis striata (black sea bass), 124 nucleotides long. RefSeq annotates it as small nucleolar RNA SNORA71. The record is from RefSeq and is a predicted model, not a curated record. NCBI's taxonomy places the organism in Eukaryota, Metazoa, Chordata, Actinopteri, Perciformes, Serranidae. The transcript has a single exon.